This 73-nucleotide transfer RNA is filed under the name Pythium insidiosum. Its description in RNAcentral is "tRNA-Glu". The record is from RNAcentral. Lineage: Eukaryota; Oomycota; Peronosporomycetes; Pythiales; Pythiaceae.
UCCCCAGAUAGUCUAGGUGGUUAGGAUAGCUGGUCUCACCAGCAGACCCGGGUUCGAAGUCCCGGUCUGGGAA